RNAcentral lists this long non-coding RNA (379 nucleotides) under Malus domestica (apple). RNAcentral describes it as "long non-coding RNA (MDOM_LNC012344)". Lineage: Eukaryota; Viridiplantae; Streptophyta; Magnoliopsida; Rosales; Rosaceae. The record is from RNAcentral.
CGGUGUAUGUGGUACAUUCUUAGCAGACAAGCGAAUUUCUCAUAGGCUACCGAUUGAACUUGAACUGGAUUAAGUGACUGCUUCUCUCCGUCUGUUGUGCUGCCUACUUUGAUGUAAGGUGGAUGAUGCUCCUUGCGGGCUUAGUCACGAAUGAACAUUUCGCCUGGAAGGUUGCUCAUGUUGACUAUCAGAGUGUGACCCCAACCGUGAAUGUAUGCUCGUCCGUGGGCCUAAUCGAGAGUGCAUGCUCAUUUACGUACUAAGACGGGAGUAUACGCUAUGUUGAGGGCCAGUUGGGAGUGUACACUGCCCGAAUGCUUGGUUUGUGGCUGGUCGAGUGGUUGCUUGCCGGGAUGCUGCUGGAGAGGUUUUUCAUCUA